GGUCGGGUGGUGUAGUUGGUUAUGUAAGUAUUCAACUCUCAUCGACUCUUCAGCACCAAGUACUAAUAAGCAACAGCACAUCUCGUUAACAGUUUACUGUAACAAACUCCGAGAAGGUCCUGGGAUCGAGCCCCAGCCUGAUCA
Cadophora malorum is the source of this 144-nucleotide non-coding RNA. Lineage: Eukaryota; Fungi; Ascomycota; Leotiomycetes; Helotiales; Ploettnerulaceae. The record is from the annotation of a GenBank genome assembly.